Molecule: long non-coding RNA, 284 nt
Filed under: Elaeis guineensis (African oil palm)
Lineage: Eukaryota; Viridiplantae; Streptophyta; Magnoliopsida; Arecales; Arecaceae
Description: long non-coding RNA (EGUI_LNC054171)
Source: RNAcentral
CCGCAGCAACUCUUUACUAAUAGAGUGGUUGUGUGUUCCCGAUGCAACUGAACCACUGUGAUCAGUCGAGAACAAUCAACGCCGGUAGCAAGCCUGCACAUCUACAAUGGUGGAAGACCUUGGACUUUAUAUUUUGUGGAGAGAUUUGGAUUCAGAUCUCAACUAAUCAGUCAUCACAUGACUAAUGUAAUUGGUAUGGACUAAAUCAAACCACCAAGGAACCAUAUUUGAGACUCAAUCUACCAAAUUGGUCAAGUAAGUAGAGAUUGGUGGGGGUCCCCCCG